Molecule: ribosomal RNA, 794 nt
Filed under: uncultured Fusobacterium sp.
Lineage: Bacteria; Fusobacteriati; Fusobacteriota; Fusobacteriia; Fusobacteriales; Fusobacteriaceae
Description: bacterial SSU rRNA
Rfam family: Bacterial small subunit ribosomal RNA
Source: RNAcentral
CGCUGACAGAAUGCUUAACACAUGCAAGUCAACUUGAAUUUGGGUUUUUAACUUAAGUUUGGGUGGCGGACGGGUGAGUAACGCGUAAAGAACUUGCCUCACAGCUAGGGACAACAUUUGGAAACGAAUGCUAAUACCUAAUAUUAUGAUAAUAGGGCAUCCUAUAAUUAUGAAAGCUAUAAGCGCUGUGAGAGAGCUUUGCGUCCCAUUAGCUAGUUGGAGAGGUAACGGCUCACCAAGGCGAUGAUGGGUAGCCGGCCUGAGAGGGUGAUCGGCCACAAGGGGACUGAGACACGGCCCUUACUCCUACGGGAGGCAGCAGUGGGGAAUAUUGGACAAUGGACCAAGAGUCUGAUCCAGCAAUUCUGUGUGCACGAUGAAGUUUUUCGGAAUGUAAAGUGCUUUCAGUUGGGAAGAAAGAAAUGACGGUACCAACAGAAGAAGUGACGGCUAAAUACGUGCCAGCAGCCGCGGUAAUACGUAUGUCACGAGCGUUAUCCGGAUUUAUUGGGCGUAAAGCGCGUCUAGGUGGUUAUGUAAGUCUGAUGUGAAAAUGCAGGGCUCAACUCUGUAUUGCGUUGGAAACUGUAUAACUAGAGUACUGGAGAGGUAAGCGGAACUACAAGUGUAGAGGUGAAAUUCGUAGAUAUUUGUAGGAAUGCCGAUGGGGAAGCCAGCUUACUGGACAGAUACUGACGCUGAAGCGCGAAAGCGUGGGUAGCAAACAGGAUUAGAUAUCCUGGUAGUCCACGCCGUAAACGAUGAUUACUAGGUGUUGGGGGUCGAACCUCAGC